Molecule: non-coding RNA, 97 nt
Organism: Mycena epipterygia
Lineage: Eukaryota; Fungi; Basidiomycota; Agaricomycetes; Agaricales; Mycenaceae
Source: the annotation of a GenBank genome assembly
GGCCUGGUAGCACAAUUGGCUAUAGUGUGUCUGCUGAUACAUAAUAUCGGGAAAAUGUAGUAUGCAGAAGAUCCCCGUUCGAUCCGGGGUCAGGCCA